This 818-nucleotide long non-coding RNA is filed under the name Homo sapiens (human). RNAcentral describes it as "non-protein coding lnc-IGFBP3-4:10". The record is from RNAcentral. Lineage: Eukaryota; Metazoa; Chordata; Mammalia; Primates; Hominidae.
UCCCACUUUACACCUCUAUAUUUCUGUGUGUGUGUCUUUAAUUCCUCUAGCACCACUGGGUUAGGGUCUCCCCAACUGAGCUGGUCUCGGCACUUCUCUUUGCCUUAAAAACAGGUACAGCGGACCUUCCUGGCAUCAGAAAAAGGCCUCCAGAAAAAGAGACACAGGAACUGAUUUCAUCUGAAAUUGAAGAGACAAUCAGAGAAAAACUAUAGACCACUCAUGAUGGUUGUUAUAUGUGCUUGGCUGGGCCAUGGGUCCCAGUGUUUGGUGAAACACAGCAGCAGAUGUCCCUGUGAGUAGAUGUUGCUUUGAAGGUAUCUUUUAGAUGUGAUGAACAUUUGUCAUCAGUAGACUUUGAGUAAGGCAGAUAGCCCGUCACAAUGUGGAUGGGCCUUAUCCAAUUAGUUGAAGGCCUUUGAAAAAAGACUGAGAUCCCAAACGAAGAAGGAAUUCUGCCUCCAGACAGCCUUCCAACUCAAGUAGCAACAUAACCUCCUCCCUGCGGCUCUAGCCUGCUGGCCUUUCCUAUAGACUUCAGACUUGCCAGCCCCACAAUCAUGUAAGCCAAUUCCUUAAAAUAAAUUCUCUGUCCUGUUUUUGCCCCCUCUCUCUUUCUGACAGCACACACAUGCCCUCUUGGUUCUGUUUCUUUGAAGAACCCCAGGAAAACACACAAAGGAAAAACAACUCGAUAGACAGAAGAUUCUUCAAUGACAACAAUGGAAGCCAUCUUCACCAUUCAACUAAACUUGAAUGGGAUAUUAUCAAACUUAAAAAAAAAUUAUCAACUGAUCGUGUAAUCAGUUUCAUCUUUU